This 382-nucleotide unclassified non-coding RNA is filed under the name uncultured Gammaproteobacteria bacterium. RNAcentral's name for it is "contains 16S-23S intergenic spacer region". Lineage: Bacteria; Pseudomonadati; Pseudomonadota; Gammaproteobacteria. The record is from RNAcentral.
UCCGGCUUAUCACUGGCAGUCCCACUAGAGUGCCCAACUAAAUGCUGGCAACUAAUGGCGAGGGUUGCGCUCGUUGCGGGACUUAACCCAACAUCUCACGACACGAGCUGACGACAACCAUGCAGCACCUCGGCUGGUUCCUGACUUUACAGGUCAUCCCGACUUUCAUCAGUUUUACUUCCAGUCGUUCGAGCCCAGGUAAGGUUUUUCGUGUUGCAUCGAAUUAAUCCACAUAAUCCACCGCUUGUGCGGGUCCCCGUCAAUUCCUUUGAGUUUUAACCUUGCGGCCGUACUCCCCAGGCGGUCAACUUCACGCGUUAGCUUCGUUACCAAGGAAUUACUUCCCCGACAACCAGUUGACAUCGUUUAGGGCGUGGACUAC